This is a non-coding RNA of Callithrix jacchus (white-tufted-ear marmoset), 7529 nucleotides long. The record is from RefSeq and is a predicted model, not a curated record. Lineage: Eukaryota; Metazoa; Chordata; Mammalia; Primates; Cebidae.
GUACGGGCGCGUCCGCCACGAGGGGCCGGCCGAGCCCCCAUCCUCUUCGGGGCUGCGGUUUCCCGUUCCCGAUCGCACCCCCUACCCACCCCUAGGGCACCUCUCGCCUCGAAACCCCAGCCAUUUUCACAACCCUGGGUGAUCUCUGGUCCUCUUCGCACAAAGCCGUUUCUCCGGGGCUCUGCUCACCUGCCCGGCCGCCCUCUGCUUUCCUCCCCUCCGCCCCUCUCGUGGGUGUUCUCCCGGAUCUCUUCCUGGGUGUGGUCUCUGCCCUCUCCUCUCCUCCAGGGACUCGCUUGGGAGUCUCCGGGCCGUCCCCACCCGCCCCCGACAGGCUACCCUCUCUCUUUGGGUCGCAGAGAUUUCCCUGCUUCCUAUUAGGACAUCUCUAGGGUUUUUACCUCCAGGGUUCGGCUGCCCGUUUCCCCUGUUAGUCGGCCGCUUGGUUCCAGUUCUUUCCCCCGCGCGGGCUCCGCUUCGCUUCCACCGCCCUAGUGAGUUGGCGACGUGGUCCGGCCGGCCCGGCCGCUCCCCAUUUCCACCCCGCGCCGGGCUCGGGCUCCGCGGAAGGCCAGGGCUCCGGCUGUCGGAUGCGCCUUCGGUCUUCCAGAGGAGGGCAGUGGAGACCCGGCGAGGCUGGAGAGGCCUCUGCCUCCGUCCCUGCGGUCUUCCCGGGUGGCACGAAAAGCCACGCGUCCCUUCCACGGGCACCAGCGGAACUCCUGCUCCUGGCCUGAAUCGGAGAGCGGGAAAUUGGGGCACUAGAAGCUUUUUGGGUCUGGGUCGGGGUCAACUCCUAGACUUCGACGCCACCGGUCAUCGCUUCCUUUCCACGCCUUUUUCAGUCUCUGCCGUGUCUGUGUCCCCGUGUCUGAGGUUUUUGUUGUUGUUUUGUCUUGGACUUCAUUUUCUCUCUUCACCCUCCCCCCCAACUCCACCCGUGUCCCUUCUCUCCAACUCCCACUGGCGGGCGACCGGGAGGCUGCGGAGGUGCUGGCUGAGGCGGCGGAGGUGGCCGGGAGGCUGCGUGGAAGAGGCGUCGACGGCAGCCAGGAGGCGGGGUUGGUUGUUAUCUUUGGUUAUCUAGCUGUAUGAGUGGUGUGGAGUCUUCAUAAAGCUAGAUAACCGAAAGUAAAAAUAACCCCAUACACUGCGCAGAGGGGCCCGGGUAAAGCCGGUCUCACCGGCUGGAGGGGGAGGCUUGAGCGAGGGUCUAGAGCCGCGAGGACUGACCAGCACAGGAGGAUACAAGAGGAGACCUCACUGGUUCGGGCGACGUUUCACCUCCUAGCCCCCCCGGUCGGCACAGGUAGGAGUCACAGUCCUAUUUCACUUUAGCCAGGUGCCAUAUUUUUCCCCCCCGCAGAGUUGGGGGCAGGGAGCAAGGAAGCCUGCUUGUGGUUCCCUCUGGUGGUCCCCACUCAGAAUGGGGCCUUUUGUGGCCGUCUGGGUCACUGCUUGGGAAGCUGAUCCAAGGGAGAAAUCCGUUGAAAUCUAGCUGCAGGGUUAUUCAGGCUCCUGGCCCAGGCCUCUCCUUCCAGCGGGAGCUGGUGAAUAGUUUCCCACUGGCUGUCCACAGCUAUGGCUGGGUGAGGGAGUUUGGAGCAAGUCAUCGGAGAACACUGGUCUUUGCUUCAGUCGGCUCCUUGAAGCCAAGAAGGGCUAUCCAGCUGAGUUGGAAGAUGAGGGUGUUGACUUGAAAAUAGGUGGAGAUAGAACUGAAGGUGCUGGGGCUGGGAGGGCUGCUCAAAAAUAUAAAUAGGGUGGUGGAAGAACCUUUUGCCCAGUCUGGGUUCUGGGGCAGUGGAGUGCAGAGCAACCUCGGUUCCAUAUCUGUUUGCCUUCCUCCUUCCGACCCAGGACCUGAGGACAAUGUUUUUAAAAGAUUCUCUUGCUGCUCUGUCAUUGCUCACCAGAGGGGUUGAGUUGGGACCGUUUAGGACACCCAAUCUUCCCACCCCAUCUUCACUCUUGGAAAUCAUCUCCAAGAACAAAUGGCCUCGAGAAGCUCUGAGGAUCUCAAACACAAAGGAAUUUGUAGCUUAGUAUCUAUGCUGCCCAGAGAAAGCAAAUAAUUGGAGAGAUUAAUCAGGGCCUUUCCUAAAAGAAUCCAUUUAUCUGGCUUGACCUAAAUAUUUUAAGAGAAACAGUGUGUAGGUGCAGCUGAAAGGAGUAUAGUCUAGAGUCCCUUUGUGGAAUAGAAGUAAAUGCUAUUCCACAUUUACUAGAAAAAGCUGGAAGUAGCCCCCUCUGCAUUUAUUACAGCUCCCAUCAUAUGCCAUCACCUGGCCUUCCAGGACAUGGGGCAGGAAGGAGUAAUAAGGGGGUGGAAGAACUGGACAAAAUGACCUUGACUGACUCCAGUUUCCUGUAUCAAUUUAAAAUUUUCUCCCAGGACCUGAUUUUAUAGCUAGAAGAUAAUGAUUCAAUUACAUAUUAUGUGGGAGAAAUACUGGAGAAUCCAAACUCAAAAAAAUUGUGCUUCAGGGAGCCUGGAAUACAUAUGUCUUCUUCCUUUAGAGAUUUAGAGGAAGGAGAGAUUAGUAGCCUCUUACUUUCUCAGCCAUUUGGAAUUUGGGUCUUCUGGGGGAGGGGCAGGUGGAGACUGGAUUAGGGAGAAAGGGAGCAGGUUUCAGGGGAGGACUAAUAAUUUCUAACACUACUUCCUGGGCAUUGGGCCUACAUCCCUUUCUGUGCUCUUUCAACACUGAGAUAGUUGUUAUUAACCCCAUUUUACAGAUAAGGAAACAUAGACUCAAAUGAGUUGCUAAUGUCACUCAGUGGUUUCCAACCCAGUGCUUUUUCUUUUUCCUUUUUUGAGACAGAGUCUCGCUCUGUUGCCAGGCUGGACUGCAGUGACACUCUCAGCUCACUGCAACCUCCAUCUCCCGGAUUCAAGUGAUUCUCCUGCCUCCGCCUCCCGAGUAGCUGGGGCUACAAGCCUGUGCCACCACACCCAGCUAAUUUUUGUAUUUUUUUUUAGUAAAGAUAGUGUUUCACCAUGUUGGCCAGGAUGGUCUCAAUCUUGACCUCAUGAUCCGCCCACCUCGGCCUCCCAAAGUGCUGGGAUCACAGGCGUGAGCUACUGCCCGGCCUAACCCAACUCAGCUACUGAACUUGCUUGUGGGAACAGCUGGAGAGAGAGUGAAGCAGGGAGGACAAGAUGAGGUUGAGCUGAGAAGGGAGGGCAUGGGGCACAGUGAAGGGAAGCCGCACCAAGAGAAAAGCCCUGCCUUUUGGCCAGGGCUGGGAGCUGGGAUGAGAGAAGCAGCACCAAGAAAGAUAGGAUUCCAUUUUUUAAAAAAGAAACAAAACAAAACAAAAACCUUUCAUGUAGCUUGCUGAAAAUGUGUAUUUGGGAUCCACUGAGGCUCGGUCACAUGAGACUUAGAAGCUGUAUCAGUAACCACAAUGGGUUUACAUUAUUAUCGUUGUCUCUGAUUAGCGCAUUUGACCUACCUCAGGAUAUCCAAAGGAGAGCAGAGGGAACUGGGGGGGCUGAGAACUGACACCCUACAAAACCAGCACCUCAGUGGAAAGGGGGAAUAGAGCCCAGGAGGGAUGUGGGGGUGAGGGUUUGUGUCUGGCUUAUGUGAGCAUAUGGUGUGUGCAUGUGGGUGUGUGGGUGGGGUUGUCAGGAGAGUGAUGGGUGACUGUGUUUGUGAGCUGUGUGUGUCUGCUUAUGAGGGUGAGAAACUGAGUGGUGUGUGACCUGGUGUAAGGUUGGAUGUGUGUCCCUCUAUGGUGGGUGGGAAGCUUGGUCGUGACAUUAGGGACACCUGGCUAUGUAUAGGUAUAAAUCCACUCUAGGAACAGACAUUCCUGGAUAUGGAAGGAGGUUACCAAAUGCAGACAUCACAGUGACACUGCUGAGUUCUCCCCACCCUCUCUGUGCCAGAUCGAAUCUCCUCCAAUUAAACCCCACAGGAGAACUGUGGGACUGGGGUGCAAGGAGGCUAGUUAAAAGGGGCUCAGAAAGGCCUCCCCAGUUACCAGUUAGGAAAUUUCCUCUCUUGUAUAAUCGCAUCUCUGCCUGUGUCUAAGAAUUUGCAGUUCUAUGCUGCAGAUAUUGUUACAUCUAUUUUUACUGGAAACCAAAUUCUAAGCUGGUUUCUUUACUCAUUUCUGUCCUCAGCCCUCGAUUUUAAUAUCCUUCUAUUGAAUUCUGGGUCCAGGAGGCCAAAGGCACUUUUCUCCCAAAUAUUUGACCCAAGUUUUGCAUUACCAGCCACACCCUCACUCUGGGACAAAUUCUCCUCCCACCCAAUUCCAGGCAUGGAAAGGGUUUUGUUGAUAAGUACUUACAGUCAUAGGAAACAUUCUAGUCAGGAAGCUGUGGGAGAGACAGAAACAGAAACAGAAAGAGCAAAUCUGACCAAGCCAAGGUCCAAGGUUUUGGUGUCUCCAUUUAUCAGCGACACAAAUCUCCCAGCGUCAAUUCAGAUAUGUGUAUAAUGAAGAUAAGAAACCCUUAGGGUUAUUGUGUGCAGAAAAUGAAGAAUUCUAUAUAAAAGAUCAUAUACUAUGUUAUGACACUCAUGGGUAAAGGGUAAUUCUCAGACUGCAGAAAGGUUAAAGGCUGUAGUUUGGAAAGACAGAGCAUGUGAUUGGUUUCAGAAUGUAAAAAGGGCACCUCUCUGGCGUGUUCCGGGCUGAUGAUCUCACCAUAUUUAACUUGAGGAAUUUCCUCCUUUUCCAGCUCCUGGGGACCUAGGUAGGGAGUGUCUGAAGCCUUGGGAGAGGAGGCACAGUCCUUGCGAAGCCUGAUAAAGCGAAGAGGCUGGAGUCCACGUGGCAGAAUUGCUAUUGUUUUCUUUCUCAAUAAGUAUUAAGACUUAUUGGUAAGAGCACUUAGGAUUGGUAAACUGACUUACAUAGAUAAAUACAGCAUGUGUAAAUGAUAAUUUCAAGCUUAUGCCAUUAAGCUCCUGGAUUCUAAGUAACUAAAAACACAGUUUAUUAAAUAAAAGGACAAGUUAGGUAGUGGCUGUAAUCAACAAAUCCUAUAGAGACCUGCCUGUCAGAAUGCAGACUUGUCUUCAUAAUUGAGUGACUUUAAGAAGGGAUGUCUUCUCUCCCUUUGCCUCACAAACCAGCAUCUCCCCAGUCCCCAGUGUGACUCCUAAGGUUGGCAACCCACCUGAGACGCAUGGGCCCCUAUGUCUGAAAGUCCUUUUUCAAGUCUGCACGUUCAAGGUUUGAAAAUUGGGGUCUGGUUAUUUAUUUUUUCACCUUCCUUCACUUGAAUGUUCUGGGAACGGAUUGACCUUCUCACCUCCCUUCCUUUGUUAUUGAGACCUCAGAGAUGGAGGCCGGGGGGAUAUAACACUGCCUCAUCCAGAGACAGGGUGUGCCAACUUCCCUAGGAGAUCAUAAGUUUAGGUUAACGCUUUAAAAUCACUGGAGGGAAGGAGCAGACAAAACUACGAAAACAUUCUUGGGGUUUUAAGGAGAAUGAGGAACAGAGUUAUGGAAGGAAGGGUGGGUGGGUGCAAAUUUAGAUAGGAGAGAUAAAGGAAAAGGGGGAACCCCCUCCUUGCCACUGAGGCUCUCCCAGGGCCGAAGUGACACCCCCUCCUCCUCCUGCCCUAAUCCCCCCAUUAAGGCAGCUCUGAGUUUGUUAUGACAGCGGCUGAAGGCUGCUGAAUUGCUGUUUGCUGUGUCUGCUAAUUGGACUGAAGGGUUGGAGUCUGGACACUGAAAGGGACCAUUGUUGCUGUUUACCUUCCACAGCCGCCUCCCUGGGGACCCUCUGGGUAAAGGGGAGCAGCAGCACCCCCUUAGGGUCAUUGCACCCAUUCCCUGCACAAGGGACUGCAGAGGGGAGACAGUUCAUCUCAUUGCCUUGGGGUGGUUUGAGCUUCUACAGCACGGAAGAGACAAGCCAACACCUGAGCCAGUCUCAUCGCCAGGCCAGGCCUUGGGGCCAUCCAGGAGCUCCCAGGAGAGGAGUUAAAUGCUUGUCUUUCUCCUCCCUAUUCAUUCCCUUCUUCUUUGCUUUGCCUCUUCCUCCAGCUAAUCAGGCUUCACCCUUGCACCUUUUCUGACCCACUUUCUUCUAGGUCAGUGAUUCUCAGCUUGGUUAUGCACGGAAUCACCUGGGGAACUUUAAAAAAAAAAAAGUUGAUGUUUGGGCCCAGCCCCAGACCAAUGAAAUCAGAGUAUGUGGAAAUGAUGCCUAGGCAUCAUUAUUAUUUAAUGUGCACCUGGGGUUAUGAACCACUGACACAGGCUCACCUCUCCACCUGGGAAUCACAUACACACACAUGCAUUCAUGUACCCACAUGCCUGUGUAUGUGUACACGUGCACACACAAACACACCCCGUUCUUUGCCUGCCUUUCCUCCCAAAUUCCUGAUGUCUGUAAUACUAUCAGGCAGGUUGUGUAUCUUUUUAAUUAUUAUUACUAAAUUCCUUGUAGGAGCCUUAGAAAUUAGAAUGGAAUUUAAAGGUCUGCACUUUAUCUUACCUCAAUCUGAGCUUUUCCCCAAGGGGAGGGACUAUGAUUCCAUCUCCCAGUGGAUUUCCAAAUGGGAUCUAGAGGAAGACUGAGCUAAUCUGGGGCACUUAUCAGAGAUUCAGUGACUUUUGUGCUUUUCCUUCCUCAAAGUAAUAUUGGCGAUUUGGAGGUCUUCACAGAGGAGAAAUUUUCUUCAGGCAUCAUCUUUCCCUUUCCUUGCUGUUUCCAAAUAUUUCUGCUUCUUCUCUUCCCUUUAGCUUCUCACCCCGGGCGGGUGGGUGCUCCACCACCCUCCCGCCCUCCUUCCUCCGUGUGGAUGACAGAGCCACAUCCAGCACCACGGACAGCUCCCGGGCGGAAAUUCCAUGAUCUUGCGUAUUCCUGUCUUGGGAAGUCCUUCUCAAUAUCUAACCAAGAUCUACACGGCUAUAGCACCAGCUCUUCGGCCCUUGGCUUGGCCUGGCUGAGUUGAGAGAUCUUAAGGCGCUUGGAGAAGCCACGGAAGCCCCUACAGGGUUUAUUCGCCUUUCCUGGACAGAGCUUCCCCACCCCGAAAGGAAGGCGCUGAUCCCGAUUUGCACCCAUUUGGUUGUGUAAGCCGUUUCGUAGCCAGUGUCUCAGCCAAUCUUCCCAACGGCCCUGAAAACCGGGUGAUACUGUCCCCACUUUAUGAAGGAGGAAUCAAAGCCUCAGGAAGGCUAAGACACUUUCCCAGAGUCACAGGUCUGACCAAAAAGAAAACUUACUUCAUCCAUUUGGAUUCCGUAUGAGGAGCCUUCCCAAUUGACCGAAAGAUGACGCUGGUCUCUAGCGAGUCGAAGUCAAACCAGCUCCUUCAAGAAGCUUUGAGCAGAACGGAAGUAGGGAGGACCCAGCUUCCAGCCUGGGCAGCCCAUUAUACCUGGAGCCAUCUGGGAUAGGACUUUGACCCAUGACUGUCAUAUCCUCAACCUGUUCAUCUUGGCCCAUCCCAGUUUAUCCUGUAUCGUUUGAGCUGGGAUUCCCACAUUCUCUGAGAUGGAAAUCCCAUCUCAAGUCUUCAAUAAAGACUCUUGAAUAUUGAAUCACA